Molecule: unclassified non-coding RNA, 57 nt
Filed under: Escherichia coli
Lineage: Bacteria; Pseudomonadati; Pseudomonadota; Gammaproteobacteria; Enterobacterales; Enterobacteriaceae
Description: SraA small RNA
Source: RNAcentral
CAUUCAACGCCGAGAAUAGAGGAAAAAUUAAAGGGGAGAUAAAAUCCCCCCUUUUUG